UACGUAGGGGGCAAGCGUUGUCCGGAAUUAUUGGGCGUAAAGCGCGCGCAGGCGGCUUUGUAAGUCUGGUGUUUAAUCUCGGAGCUCAACUCCGAUUCGCAUUGGAAACUGCAAGGCUUGAGUGCAGAAGAGGAAAGUGGAAUUCCACGUGUAGCGGUGAAAUGCGUAGAGAUGUGGAGGAACACCGGUGGCGAAGGCGGCAUCCUGGACCGGCAUUGACGCUGAGGCGCGAAAGCUAGGGGAGCAAACGGG
Molecule: ribosomal RNA, 252 nt
Filed under: uncultured bacterium
Lineage: Bacteria
Description: partial 16S ribosomal RNA
Rfam family: Bacterial small subunit ribosomal RNA
Source: RNAcentral